Molecule: ribosomal RNA, 237 nt
Filed under: uncultured bacterium
Lineage: Bacteria
Description: partial 16S ribosomal RNA
Rfam family: Bacterial small subunit ribosomal RNA
Source: RNAcentral
GACGAACGCUGGCGGCGUGCUUAACACAUGCAAGUCGAGCGGUAAGGCCCUUUCGGGGGUACGACGAGCGGCGAACGGGUGAGUAACACGUGGGUGACCUGCCCUCAGCUCUGGGAUAAGCCUGGGAAACUGGGUCUAAUACCGGAUAUGACUCCAUGACGCAUGUUGUGGGGUGGAAAGCCUUGUGCGGCUGAGGAUGGGCCCGCGGCCUAUCAGCUUGUUGGUGGGGUGAUGGCC